UGUAAACAAUUACAUAGUGAAACUGCGAAUGGCUCAUUAUAUAAGUUAUCGUUUAUUUGAUAGUUCCUUACUACUUGGAUAACCGUGGUAAUUCUAGAGCUAAUACAUGCUAAAAACCCCGACUUCGGAAGGGGUGUAUUUAUUAGAUUAAAAACCAAUGCCCUUCGGGGCUCACUGGUGAUUCAUAAUAACUUCUCGAAUCGCAUGGCCUUGCGCCGGCGAUGGUUCAUUCAAAUUUCUUCCCUAUCAACUUUCGAUGCUAGAGUAGUGUUCUAGCAUGGUUACAACGGGUAACGGAGGGUUAGGGCUCGACCCCGGAGAAGGAGCCUGAGAAACGGCUACUACAUCCAAGGAAGGCAGCAGGCGCGCAAAUUACCCAAUCCCGACACGGGGAGGUAGUGACGAUAAAUACUGAUACAGGGCUCUUUUGGGUCUUGUAAUUGGAAUGAGUACAAUUUAAAUCCCUUAACGAGGAACAAUUGGAGGGCAAGUCUGGUGCCAGCAGCCGCGGUAAUUCCAGCUCCAAUAGCGUAUAUUAAAGUUGUUGUGGUUAAAAAGCUCGUAGUAGAACCUUGGGCCUGGCUGGCCGGUCCGCCUCACCGCGUGCACUGGUCCGGCCGGGCCUUUCCCUCUGUGGAACCGCAUGCCCUUCACUGGGUGUGCCGGGGAAACAGGACUUUUACUUUGAAAAAAUUAGAGUGCUCCAGGCAGGCCUUUGCUCGAAUACAUUAGCAUGGAAUAAUAGAAUAGGACGUGUGGUUCUAUUUUGUUGGUUUCUAGGACCGCCGUAAUGAUUAAUAGGGACAGUCGGGGGCAUCAGUAUUCAAUUGUCAGAGGUGAAAUUCUUGGAUUUAUUGAAGACUAACUACUGCGAAAGCAUUUGCCAAGGAUGUUUUCAUUUAUCAGGAACGAAAGUUAGGGGAUCGAAGACGAUCAGAUACCGUCGUAGUCUUAACCAUAAACUAUGCCGACUAGGGAUCGGACGAUGUUAUUUUUUGACUCGUUCGGCACCUUACGAGAAAUCAAAGUGCUUGGGCUCCAGGGGGAGUAUGGUCGCAAGGCUGAAACUUAAAGAAAUUGACGGAAGGGCACCACCAGGGGUGGAGCCUGCGGCUUAAUUUGACUCAACACGGGGAAACUCACCAGGUCCAGACACAAUGAGGAUUGACAGAUUGAGAGCUCUUUCUUGAUUUUGUGGGUGGUGGUGCAUGGCCGUUCUUAGUUGGUGGAGUGAUUUGUCUGCUUAAUUGCGAUAACGAACGAGACCUUAACCUGCUAAAUAGCCCGUAUUGCUUUGGCAGUACGCCGGCUUCUUAGAGGGACUCUCG
This 1328-nucleotide ribosomal RNA is filed under the name Colletotrichum salicis. Its description in RNAcentral is "SSU rRNA". It matches the Rfam family "Eukaryotic small subunit ribosomal RNA", at positions 64 to 1425 of the family's 1831-position model. The record is from RNAcentral. Lineage: Eukaryota; Fungi; Ascomycota; Sordariomycetes; Glomerellales; Glomerellaceae.